UUUUGGUUUAUACUUAUUCAUGAUUUAGUUAUGUACGGGGUAUUCUGGAUAUGGUAGAAUGUGUAUGGAGAUUGUGAAUAGGUCAACAUGAAAUCGAUCACUCCUGGUAAGAGGAGAUCGCAUCCUACUUGCUCUGAUCAAUUGAUGAUUCAAGAAGCCUUUGAUCAAAGCAAAAUAAAAAUUAAAAAUAAUUUCUAAUAUUUUAUUAAUCAAAUCAUCAUUAAAGAUUAAGAGAGAUAUGAAUAUGAUAUUAGAUUUGACAUCAUUCCAUAUCCAAAGUCAUAUUCGGGG
RNAcentral lists this long non-coding RNA (291 nucleotides) under Elaeis guineensis (African oil palm). RNAcentral's name for it is "long non-coding RNA (EGUI_LNC068216)". Lineage: Eukaryota; Viridiplantae; Streptophyta; Magnoliopsida; Arecales; Arecaceae. The record is from RNAcentral.